RNAcentral lists this ribosomal RNA (440 nucleotides) under uncultured bacterium. RNAcentral's name for it is "partial 16S ribosomal RNA". It matches the Rfam family "Bacterial small subunit ribosomal RNA", at positions 338 to 795 of the family's 1533-position model. The record is from RNAcentral.
CCUACGGGAGGCAGCAGUGGGGAAUAUUGCACAAUGGGCGCAACCCUGAUGCAGCGAAGUAGCGUGAAGGAUGACGUCUCUAGGUAUGUAAAAUUCUAUCUGCAGGGGAGAAAAUGACGGCACGUGAGUAAGAAGCUACGGCUAACUACGUGACAGUAGCCGCGGUAAUCCGUAGGGGGCAGGCGUUAUCCGGAUUUACUGGGUGUAAAGGGGGCGUAGACGGGAUGGUAAGUCUGAAGUGAAAUGCCGCGGCUUAACCGCGGAACUGCUAUGGAAACUGUGCAGCUAGAGUGCAGUAGAGGUAAGCGGAAUUCGUGGUGUAGCGGUGAAAUGCGUAGAUAUUAGGAAGAACACCGGUUGCGAAGGCGGCUUACUGGACUGCAACUGACGUUGAGGCUCGAAAGUGUGGGGAGCAAACAGGAUUAGAUACCCUAGUAGUC